AAGAGGCAAGAAUAUGAAAAGUUACUGGAAGAUGGGAAACUAAUGUUUCAUCAGGUGCCCCUGUUGGAGAUUGAUGGGCUGGAGCUGGUGCAAACUCCCGCCAUUGUGAGAUACGUGGCCAGGAAGGGAGGAUUAUAUGGGCACUCCAA
Long non-coding RNA from Haliotis rubra (blacklip abalone), 149 nucleotides. RefSeq lists it as uncharacterized. The record is from RefSeq and is a predicted model, not a curated record. The transcript is spliced from 2 exons. NCBI's taxonomy places the organism in Eukaryota, Metazoa, Mollusca, Gastropoda, Lepetellida, Haliotidae.